GAUACUGGUUGUCGUGAGUCAUAGUGAAGUGGCCGGGAAUAUGUAGUGUAGCGGUGAAAUGCAUAGAUAUUACAUAGAACACCGAUUGCGAAGGCAGGUCACUAACUAUGUACUGACGCUGAUGGACGAAAGCGUGGGGAGCGAACGGGAUUAGAUACCCCGGUAGUCCACGCCGUAAACGAUGGAUACUAGCUGUCGGGACUUCGGUCUCGGCGGCCAAGCGAAAGUGAUAAGUAUCCCACCUGGGGAGUACGUUCGCAAGAAUGAAACUCAAAGGAAUUGACGGGGGCCCGCACAAGCGGUGGAGCAUGUGGUUUAAUUCGAUGAUACGCGAGGAACCUUACCAGGGCUUAAAUGCAGAAUGACAGGACCAGAGACGGUUUUUUCUUCGGACAUUUUGCAAGGUGCUGCAUGGUUGUCGUCAGCUCGUGCCGUGAGGUGUCAGGUUAAGUCCUAUAACGAGCGCAACCCCUGUCGUCAGUUGCCAACAGGUAAUGCUGGGGACUCUGGCGAGACUGCCGGUGCAAACCGAGAGGAAGGUGGGGAUGACGUCAAAUCAUCACGGCCCUUACGUCCUGGGCUACACACGUGCUACAAUGGCCGGUACAGAGGGCAGCCACACCGCAAGGUGGAGCGAAUCCUUAAAACCGGUCUCAGUUCGGAUCGGGGUCUGCAACUCGGCCCCGUGAAGCUGGAAUCGCUAGUAAUCGGAUAUCAGCCAUGAUCCGGUGAAUACGUUCCCGGGCCUUGUACACACCGCCCGUCAAGCCAUGGAAGUCGGGGGUACCUGAGAGUCGG
Molecule: ribosomal RNA, 798 nt
Filed under: uncultured bacterium
Lineage: Bacteria
Description: bacterial SSU rRNA
Rfam family: Bacterial small subunit ribosomal RNA
Source: RNAcentral